Molecule: ribosomal RNA, 270 nt
Filed under: uncultured archaeon
Lineage: Archaea
Description: partial 16S ribosomal RNA
Rfam family: Archaeal small subunit ribosomal RNA
Source: RNAcentral
CAGCACCUCAAGUGGUCAGGAUGAUUAUUGGGCCUAAAGCAUCCGUAGCCGGCUCUGUAAGUUUUCGGUUAAAUCUGUACGCUCAACGUACAGGCUGCCGGGAAUACUGCAGAGCUAGGGAGUGGGAGAGGUAGACGGUACUCGGUAGGAAGGGGUAAGAUCCUUUGAUCUAUUGAUGACCACCUGUGGCGAAGGCGGUCUACCAGAACACGUCCGACGGUGAGGGAUGAAAGCUGGGGGAGCAAACCGGAUUAGAGACCCGAGUAGUCC